CGGUAAUUCCAGCUCCAAUAGCGUAUACUAAAGUUGUUGCAGUUAAAAAGCUCGUAGUUGGAUUUCUGCGGGGACGGAGCGGCCGGUCGCAACUUGCGACUCGAGCUAGCGCUUUCCCCGCAUCCUGCCGCGAACCGUGCUACCAUUAGCUUGGUGGCGCUGGGGAUCGGCUCGAUUACUUUGAGAAAAAUAGAGUGUUCAAAGCAGGCCACACGCCUUGAAUAAGUUAGCAUGGAAUAAUGACUAAGGACUUCGGUUCUAUUUUGUUGGUGUUCGGGACUGAAGUAAUGAUUGAUAGGGACAGUUGGGGCGGUCUGUAUUCCAAAGCGAGGGGUGAAAUUCUUAGACCUUCGGAAGACAAACAGCUGCGAAAGCGUUCCGCAAGGAUGUUCCCUUUGAUCAAGAACGAAAGUUGGGGGAUCGAAGACGAUCAGAUACCGUCGUAGUCUCAACUAUAAACUAUACCAGCUAGGGAUCGGUCAACGUUUAAUCAUUCGACUUGAUCGGCACCUUAUGAGAAAUCAAAGCAUCUGGGUUCCGGGGGGAGUAUGGUCGCAAGGCUGAAACUUAAAGGAAUUGACGGAAGGGCACCACCAGCCGUGGAGCCUGUGGCUUAGUUUGACUCAACACGGGAAAACUUACCAGGUCCAGACAUAGUAAGGAUUGACAGAUUGAUAGCUCUUUCUUGAUUCUGUGGGUGGUGGUGCAUGGCCGUUCUUAGUUGGUGGAGUGAUUUGUCUGGUUAAUUCCGUUAACGAACGAGACCCCAGCCUGCUAAAUAGCGCGGCUGAGCUUUGCUCGGUGCGAGCUUCUUAGAGGGACUAUGAUGCGCGAUAGCACAUGGAAGUUUGGGGCAAUAACAGGUCUGUGAUGCCCUUAGAUGUUCUGGGCCGCACACGGGCUACACUGGCGCCUGCAACGAGCAUAUCAGCUGGCCCGAGAGGGUCUUGGCUAAUCUUUUGAACCGGCGCCGUGCUUGGGAUUGACCAUUGCAAUUGUUGGUCAUGCAACGAGGAAUGCCUUGUAAACGCGAGUCAUCAGCUCGCAUUGAAUACGUCCCUGCCCUUUGUACACACCGCCC
RNAcentral lists this ribosomal RNA (1081 nucleotides) under uncultured Rhizaria. RNAcentral describes it as "SSU rRNA". It matches the Rfam family "Eukaryotic small subunit ribosomal RNA", at positions 577 to 1674 of the family's 1831-position model. The record is from RNAcentral.